Molecule: ribosomal RNA, 253 nt
Filed under: uncultured bacterium
Lineage: Bacteria
Description: partial 16S ribosomal RNA
Rfam family: Bacterial small subunit ribosomal RNA
Source: RNAcentral
UACGGAGGGGGCGAGCGUUGUUCGGAAUUACUGGGCGUAAAGGGCGCGUAGGCGGCCUUGUCAGUCAGGCGUGAAAGCCCCGGGCUCAACCUGGGAUGUGCGCUUGAUACUGCAAGGCUUGAGACCGGAAGAGGAUGGCGGAAUUUCCUGUGUAGCGGUGAAAUGCGUAGAUAUAGGAAGGAACAUCAGUGGCGAAGGCGACUUACUGGCUCGAUUCUGACGCUGAGGUGCGAAAGCGUGGGGAGCAAACAGG